Molecule: long non-coding RNA, 775 nt
Filed under: Rattus norvegicus (Norway rat)
Lineage: Eukaryota; Metazoa; Chordata; Mammalia; Rodentia; Muridae
Description: long non-coding RNA NONRATT003166
Source: RNAcentral
GGGCUGGGAAGCUCACUCGCUGACUCAGAAGAACACUUGCUAUUGCAGAGGACCUAGGUUCUAUUCCCAGCAUCCACAUAAUAGCCCACAACCAUAUGUAAUGCCAGUCGCAGGAGGUCUGAUGCCCUCAUCCUGCCUUCAGCAGGUAGUAGGCCUACACAUGAUGCACAUACAUGUAGAGGCAAGACAUUUAGAUAUAUAAAAUAAUUUUAAAACAAAAAAGAUAUAACUAUACUAAGAUAUAUGUCUUAAGAAAUCUGAAACCCAAAUUAUAGAUCUUUUGACUUUGAAUUGAUAGGGUGACUUCUUUUUACUUUUUUUUUAAGUAUGAGAAGUGAGUUUGGGCCUAGGGGUAUGGCUCAGCAGAAGCUUGUCUAGCAGGCAUGAGGUCCUGGGGGUUUGAUCUCUAAGCUCUGUCAAUUAAAUAUUGGUGGUGUACACCUGUAACCCCCAGCAUUUGGGAAGAGGAAGCCUCAGAGGUAAGGAAAGGACUUGUUCAUUUUCUCCCUCAUCUGCUGUCAGGGCACCCACCACAGAGGAGGACAAAAAGGCAGCUGAAAAGAAACGGGAAGACAAAGCCAAGAAGAAGCACGAUAGGAAGUCUAAGCGCAUGGAUGAGGAAGAGGAGGACAAUGAAGGCGGGGAGUGGGAACGGGUCCGAGGCGGCGUACCACUUGUUAAGGAGAAACCAAAAAUGUUUGCCAAGGGAACAGAGAUCACUCAUGCUGUUGUCAUCAAGAAGCUGAAUGAGAUUCUACAGGUCAGAGGCAAGAAG